GUAUAAGUAAAAUUAACAAUUAUUAUAUUAAAAGUUAUUAUUCUUCCUUUUAUUCUCUAAAAUACAUUCUUCUCCUUUCUGGUGAGAAUAAUUUGAACUUCUCACCUUUGACUUCAGAAAAAGAACCAACCCUGCUAUACAAUUCAUCACCUAAAAACAAAACCUUCUGCUAAGUAUAAUUCUUUUCACUAAGUACAGAAGCUAAAUUCACACUAACAUAUAUACAGAUGACCAAAAGACUAGCAUAUAUAUACAACAAGCUAACCAAAACUACAAUAAAAACCUUAUGAAGGUGCCAAUAAGGGAUUUUUUUGUUUUCUUUUCCUUGUUGUAUAUAUGGAAGAAAAUAGAUACAUACAUGUGUGUAUAUAUAUAUAUAUAUAUAUAUAUAUAUAUAUAUAUAUAUAUAUAUAUAUAUAUAUAUAUAGAUGUGUAAGAAUUGAAAUUUCAAUUGUUGUGUGAGGGUGUGAUCUUGAUAACAAGGCCUGGGAAGACAUCAUCAGGGUCAUGGAUAUGAGGGUUUUUUUCCACUAUGAAGGGGUCACCACAUUUGUCACUGAUUGUGUGAAGUGUCUCUCCUUCUCCGACCACAUAGAUUUCAUCACAAGGCUUCGACAACACUUGUUUACCCCUCAGCUUCCCUUCAUCAUCCUCCUCAAGAACAGAACUCUCACUGAAUAUGCACAGCAGUAUGAGGGUCACGAGGAGACAUGCACAGAACCAUGAUGCUGCAUCAACCAUGGCUUUUGAAUUUGAUGCUUUUCUUGGAUUCAGAGCCAUCACUUAGAGAGAGAAAUAUGAAAGAGAGAGUGAGUCUGAGUUUUGGUGAUCUAUCAGAGAUGAUAGGUUGUACGAAAGAG
This 860-nucleotide long non-coding RNA is filed under the name Vigna radiata. Its description in RNAcentral is "long non-coding RNA (VRAD_LNC003084)". Lineage: Eukaryota; Viridiplantae; Streptophyta; Magnoliopsida; Fabales; Fabaceae. The record is from RNAcentral.